ACUUUAUACAGUAAAACUGCGAAUGGCUCAUUAAAUCAGUUAUCAUUUAUUUGAUAAUACCUUACUACUUGGAUAACCGUAGUAAUUCUAGAGCUAAUACAUGCUAAAAGGCACGACUUUUCGGAAGUGCUGCAUUUAUUAGAUACAAAACCAAUGCGACGGGGCAACCCGUUGUUUAGUGAUGAUUCAUAAUAACUUUGCGGAUCGCAUGCCCUCGCGGCGGCGACGCAUCAUUCAAAUUUCUGCCCUAUC
Molecule: ribosomal RNA, 252 nt
Filed under: uncultured Micronuclearia
Lineage: Eukaryota; Rigifilida
Description: partial 18S ribosomal RNA
Rfam family: Eukaryotic small subunit ribosomal RNA
Source: RNAcentral